Homo sapiens (human) is the source of this 2686-nucleotide RNA transcript. It is a transcript of the gene named chromosome 10 open reading frame 143, with no coding region annotated. The record is from RefSeq and is marked validated. Lineage: Eukaryota; Metazoa; Chordata; Mammalia; Primates; Hominidae. The transcript has 8 exons.
GUGGUGCGCGGGCCUCGGCCAGGCCUGAGAUGCCGGGAGGGUUUGACCCUGGGGCUGCAUGGACAGCUUAGCGCUCGGCCGCUGGCGACAGCGGAGGGCGGAGGAUCUGCAGGUUCCGGGGGACGUGACAUGUUUUGAGCGCCUGCUGUGUCUCAAGCCCUGUCCUAGGCACUGGAGAUGAGAUGAAGAAACGAUGAGUAGAGGCCUUGCUUACGUUUAUCCUGCAACUCAUGAUGAGGCUUACUCUGCAACUCCAGUGCUCGGCUUUUUACACAACAGAGUCUCUGUUGCCCAGGCUGGAGUACAGUCGCACGAUCUUGGCUCACUGCAACCUCUGCCUCUCAGGUUCGAGUGAUUCUUCUGCCUCAGCCUCCCAAGUUGCUGGGAUUACAGAAACGGGUAUGCAGGAGAUUAGAAGCCAGUGGGCAUGAGCGUGGCUGCCACCAGGUGAAUGCCUGUGCCCUGGCGUCCUGGGGCCCAGAGGACCGGGAGCUUCCAUCAAGAGGCUGCCUCCCAGCACCAAGGCCAGAGAGUGGCCAGGGGAGGCUAAGUACAGGGAUUUCUCAGAAUGGUGGAAGGAGCUCAGCCCAGCCUUGCCCAAGAUGUAUUGCAGGGGAAUCUAUGGAGUUUUGCUCUCGUUGCCCACGCUGGAGUGCAAUGGCAUGAUCUCAGCUCACUGCAACCUCCGCUUCCCAGGUUCAAGCGAUUCUCCUGCCUCAGCCACCCAAGUAGUUGGGAUUACAGGUGUGUGCCACCAUGCCUGGCGACUUUUGUAUUUUCAGUAGAGAUGGGGUUUCACCUUGUUGAUCAGGCUGGUCUCAAACUCCUGACCUCAAGUGAUCCACCCACCUCGGCCUCCCAAAGUGCUGGGAUUACAGGCGAGAGCCACCGUGCCCGGCCAUGACCUUCUUUAGUUCUUUGACCAUAUUUAAAAUGGCUGAGGUGAAGUCUCUGGUAUACCCCUCCUUGAACAGAGCAGGGAAGGAUGCGUCAGGAAUAAGUCACCUCAGUGAAUAGCUGUUUUUAAAAAAGAAAUCAUUGUGUUUUUCAAGUUCUGUGGUUGGUGAUGACGAAAUGAAUUAAACAGCAUUUCCCUGCAGUUCCCCUGUCUCUUCCCUAAGAGACGCCUGCUGCCUCCUGGGUCUGCGCACCCCACGGCACCUCCAAGUGAGCCUCCCAGGCUUCCACUGACUCUGCCCCUUCAGUGCACAGCCCAGAGCCGUGAUUUGCCAGCUGGGCUCCUGCGUUCAGAGUCUCCCAACAGAACAGGUUCUUGUCCAGAGAAGUUCAGGAAAUGCUACAUACUUUCCCCUGCCUUUUAGAGACUUGAUGUCCAUUAGACUGUGAAAGACCUCGAGAAUUGCAUGAAGAAACUGGUUUCCAAAAUGUCCUUUUGUAAAGGGAUACCUGCUACACAUGUGAUUCUGGGAAUAUUCUGGGAAGCGCAGGCCUGUUGAGUAAAUGCAGCACCUGUAUUCACCAUGGCAUCCAGGGCCCUUCAAAUCUCAGUGUUGCUUGACCUCCCAGACAGCUGCUCCCAUCCCUGCCAUGUGCGCCACAAGCCCCUGCUCCAGCCGCCACAGCUUCUCCGAUCCUGGAACAGUCUGACCUUGUACUGUGCUUACUGCUUGAGGUAUACCUUCCCACCUCCAAAGAUUCUCUUGCUCCUUCGUGGCCCACCCGAGAUUCCUGUCUUGUGUGAAGCCUUCUUCAGGCCCCUCACCAGGUAGGGUCACGUGCUGUCUUCCCUGGCUCCUGUAGCAUUUCGUUCUGAUCACUCGAAGGAGCCAUCAGUAUCUGACGUCAGUACUCUGCUGUCUGAUAAUCCCUCCAGGCAAGUUCAGAGUCUCUCCUGUCUGGUCCCUGUGGGUCAGGGCAGCCCCUGCCUUCCAGGAAGCAGGGACAUCAUCAAGAACUGGACUUCUUUGUUUCCCCACUGCCCAGCCUACCCCACCCUUCCUGGGCUGCAGCCAGCUCAGGAGCCUGUUGCCCUGAUGGUGGAGUCCUUUCAGGACAGGGAGGCUGUGCCUGUCUCUGCCUGUGGGCCAGAGUGCCACGCUGCUAUGUGCCAGGAUAUGUGGCCAAGUGUGACAGAGAUUCCUAGAUGCUGACGAGCCUCUCAUUGCACAGUGGUACAGUGUCUGGCCAACUGUCUAUCCCCAGCCAUCUGGUUCUCCCAGUUACUUCUGCGGGUGAAGGGACAUUUUAGCCAUACCAAGAAUCAUUAGAAGAUGCAAGCUGGAAAAAAGAAGGUCCCAGUUUUGGUUUUGAACCCUUCAUGUUGCAGCAAAUGUGAAUCUCCUACAGAUGGGUUUGGGGACUUACCUGUUCAAAUAGCAGCCCGGUGUCCUCUGUGGGUGGGGGGAGGUUUGUCUGUCCUUUCAUUCUAGUAAAUCCACCAUCCUCUGCACGAGAGCCAGGAGAAUCCACAUCACUUCAAAAGAGCCCCCAAAUCCUUACUACGUACUACAGCCUCCUUUCGAAUGUUCCUGGUUGAGAGGGAGAUCAAUUGCAUUAUUUACAAGUCAAAAAAUUUUGUAUCAAACUUCCUAUGAGCUUGGGCACUCAUGGCCUAUGGAGGCCCACCCAGACGCAGCCCCGCCAUCAUGCUUUUUCGUUGUUUUGUGGAUGUACCCAGGGCUAUUUACACACUCUUUCAUUAAAAGGCUUAUUUUUAUAUUUAAAA